ACGGAAGGCAGCAGUGGGGAAUAUUGCACAAUGGGGGAAACCCUGAUGCAGCGACGCCGCGUGAGUGAAGAAGUAUUUCGGUAUGUAAAGCUCUAUCAGCAGGGAAGAAAAUGACGGUACCUGAGUAAGAAGCCCCGGCUAACUACGUGCCAGCAGCCGCGGUAAUACGUAGGGGGCAAGCGUUAUCCGGAUUUACUGGGUGUAAAGGGAGCGCAGACGGUUAAGCAAGUCUGAAGUGAAAGCCUGGGGCUCAACCCCGGAACUGCUUUGGAAACUGUUUGACUUGAGUGCUGGAGAGGUAAGCGGAAUUCCUAGUGUAGCGGUGAAAUGCGUAGAUAUUAGGAAGAACACCGGUGGCGAAGGCGGCUUACUGGACAGUAACUGACGUUGAGGCUCGAAAGCGUGGGGAGCAAACAGGAUUAGAUACCCUGGUA
This 434-nucleotide ribosomal RNA is filed under the name uncultured Clostridium sp. Its description in RNAcentral is "partial 16S ribosomal RNA". It matches the Rfam family "Bacterial small subunit ribosomal RNA", at positions 341 to 792 of the family's 1533-position model. The record is from RNAcentral. Lineage: Bacteria; Bacillati; Bacillota; Clostridia; Eubacteriales; Clostridiaceae.